Molecule: ribosomal RNA, 460 nt
Filed under: uncultured bacterium
Lineage: Bacteria
Description: partial 16S ribosomal RNA
Rfam family: Bacterial small subunit ribosomal RNA
Source: RNAcentral
CCUACGGGAGGCAGCAGUGAGGAAUAUUGGUCAAUGGGCGCGAGCCUGAACCAGCCAAGUCGCGUGAGGGAUGAAGGUUCUAUGGAUCGUAAACCUCUUUUAUAAGGGAAUAAAGUGUGCGACGUGUCCUAUUUUGUAUGUACCUUAUGAAUAAGGAUCGGCUAACUCCGUGCCAGCAGCCGCGGUAAUACGGAGGAUCCGAGCGUUAUCCGGAUUUAUUGGGUUUAAAGGGUGCGUAGGCGGACUUUUAAGUCAGUGGUGAAAGUCUGUGGCUCAACCAUAGAAUUGCAGUUGAAACUGGGAGGCUUGAGUAUAGUUGAGGCGGGCGGAAUGCGUGGUGUAGCGGUGAAAUGCUUAGAUAUCACGAAGAACCCCGAUUGCGAAGGCAGCCUACUAGGCCGUGACUGACGCUGAGGCACGAAAGCGUGGGGAUCAAACAGGAUUAGAUACCCGAGUAGUC